GAUGAACGCUGGCGGCGUGCUUAACACAUGCAAGUCGAACGGUGAAGGCGGAGCUUGCUCUGCUGGAUCAGUGGCGAACGGGUGAGUAACACGUGAGCAACCUGCUCUUGACUCUGGGAUAAGCGCUGGAAACGGCGCCUACUACUGGAUACGAGCUGCGAAGGCAUCUUCAGCAGCUGGACAUAAUUUCGGUCAGGGAUGAGCUCGCGGCCUACCAGCUUGUUGGUGGGGUAAUGGCUCACCAAGGCGUAGACUGGUACCCGGCCUGGGAGGGUGACCGGCCACAAGGGUACUACGACACGGAGCAGACUGCUACGGGAGGCAGUAGUGGGAAAUAUUGCACAGUGGGCGAAAGCCUGAUGCAGCAACGCCGCGUGUGGGACGACGGCCUUCGGGUUGUAAACCUCUUUUAGCAGGGAAGAAGCGAAAGUGACGGUACCUGAAGAAAAAGCACCGGCUAACUACGUG
This 468-nucleotide ribosomal RNA is filed under the name uncultured bacterium. RNAcentral's name for it is "partial 16S ribosomal RNA". It matches the Rfam family "Bacterial small subunit ribosomal RNA", at positions 28 to 507 of the family's 1533-position model. The record is from RNAcentral.